Molecule: long non-coding RNA, 3209 nt
Organism: Hippocampus zosterae (dwarf seahorse)
Lineage: Eukaryota; Metazoa; Chordata; Actinopteri; Syngnathiformes; Syngnathidae
Exons: 2
Source: RefSeq, a predicted model, not a curated record
CAGCCUUAACCCAAAAUAAAGGAACUUAUCGUUAUCUGCCGGGUUAUUUUUGACCCAAAAUGGGCCAAAUGGCCAGAUCCGAAGUAAAAAUGUUAUUUUUAUCGUUCUCUAGGGAAAUGACGGGACAGUCCCAAUAUAAUGUCCCAAAAGCUCAAAUCUCGCACAAUUUGGACUUUGGACUCAAAAGAAUACAUCCCACAGUUCAAACCAUUUUGGGAGUUCACUCAAGACAUCCUCAAAUCUCAAGGCUAUUGCUAAAUCAGGCGAGACUUCCUAACACCACGCGAGAAUCUCAUGAAAUCGCGUGUCCUCCUUAAACUCUCACAAAACUCGGGCAGAUCUUGUGAGACUUCCAGUAGAUCAUGCCAGACUAUCUCGGUGUCUCACCGAGAUAGUCUUACACUAAAAAAAAAUCACACAAGACUCCGUCGUUGCUCAUGCGAUACUUCCACACAUAUGGUGAGACUUCCGCAAUUGUUGCAGACUUCCACAAAAUCAGGAAAGACUUCCACUGAAACCAUAGCAGAACCAUUCUCCAAUUCUUACCAGACAUUUUUUGAUAGAGCAGAAGACAACUACAUCUCAAUAGAUAUCUUCACAUCUUACCAGACUUGAAAGGUCAUCUUAGUAAUCAGCCGCAAGGUUGACUUGUUUUGGCGCUUUUCAGGACAAGGCAACAAUUAUGAUUUUGACCCAAGAUGGCUGAAGUCGAUAAGGUCGGAUAGGUUCAUGUUUCUUAAUGUGAGCUCUGCCGGGCAAACUUGCUUUUUAAGACGGUGAUUUAAGAGAUAUCACAUAUGGUCCUGUUUAAAAUGUAAUAAAAAUCACAGUACCAACAAUUCAUUUUGUCUUUUUGACACUUAAACCAGCUCCCAGGAUACUAAUUGCAUUUCCUGGAUUCCAUCGGAUGCUAAGAUAAAUAUUUUCUUAUUGAAGUCACACUUAUCCAUCAGUAGCUGUUGCGUAAUGCUGCUCAGGAGAUGCUGGAAUUUCCCUCUUACUGAAAGGAACCAGCAUGACAUUUGAUUAAUCAAGAUGCUACUUUUUUCCAAAAAAACAAACACAAAUGUUCCUCUGAGGGGAAAGAGUGCAGAAUAGGACUCACUUCUAAACAAGAAGAGAUAAUUAUCCCUAACACAUUUUCUCGAUUGGAACUUUUACACAUUUUACCAAAUUAAUUUUAGGCUUGAGGCCCCGCUCGUCAGUACCACUCUCUGCCUCAACAUCCAAUGUUAGUAUAAGAGAUUUUUAUCUCUUUACAAACACACUUGCUAAACCCCAGCGGAACGAAAAAAGACGACAUGGACAAGACAGUUAUUAUAGUAAAAAUAUACAAUAAAACGUGUCCGUCCGGCCUCGAGCGUCGUGUCGGCUAGCUAGCUUAGCUGUUGUCGAUGUUCAAAGCUUCCUUGAUCUGUGACGUGAGUUGUGUCGGCGCUGAUUGGUUGAAGCCCGUGCGUACGUGCUCGAACUCACGCUGAUUGGUUGAAGCGCGUGCGUACGUGCUCGCGCUCAGCAGAGAGCAGCGAACUAUCGACUGCCGAGGCGCGCUUCACUCCAGUGGCGUCGCUACAAGUAUAAGGCAUAACAUGACCAAACAAUGGAAAGGUCAUCCCAUGCUAUUAACCGUAUUUCCUCCUCUUGUGACCGAGGCAGAUAUUUAUUCAGCCGUCGAGAGAACGAAGCAUUUAUUAGGAGGUUAGCCUUUUAUUGUAAAAUGUAUUCUUGUAAUCAUUUGAAAUCUUCUAUACCGCUUGUCAUUUGGGUCAUGGAUUGGAGUGAGAGGUGAUAUACUGUACACCCUUGACUGGUUGCUAGCUAAAUGUAGGGCAUAUAUAAACAACCAACAAUUCCCACCCACAUUCCCUCCUAUAGAUAAUUUAGUGUCUUUAAUGAAGCUAAAUACUUUUUUUGGAAUGUGGGAGGAAGCCGCAGAAGCCAGAGAAACGUGCAGGCCAGACCCGACUUGUGUUUAACUAAACACAAACAUCAUCUUUCCACUCCAGUAUGGUGUACCCUUUCUUUGUGAGACUCUUUAUAACUUUAUAGGUCCCACAUCCGUCGUGCUGGCGGUGUAAGAUAUGUUGAGGAGGUCUAGAAAAAAGACGGACUACGAAGCUAGGCAGGCUUUAAUUUUCAUCUCAGCGAACCAUCUUGUGUUCACCAAGUGGACCACUUUGACUUGCCUUUGUUUCAUGCGAGAGAAAGCAGAUUUUCCGAGCGUGAGCUAUAUCACACACUGAUUAUGUUCCCUUUCUUGCCAGCCGGCAAUCCCCAUAAAUGGAUUAAAUCUGCCCUUUCCAAUCGCAUCCAUAUGCAUGAGAUGGGGAAAUAGCAAGGCCAGUCAGUCAGGCGGUAGUAUAUUUGGCAUUUCAGAUCAAGCGCAUAACUUCCACAGACGGCGGGGGCCAUGCAACCACCCCCCCCCCUCUCCCACACUCCCCCGCCUCACGUUGCAAAUAAUAGUCCACCAAUCAUCCACAUAAAAGCGGCUGAAAAAAGAGGCGCCGCUUAAAACAUCUUACAAGACACACGUCUCCUUGCGGGAACACUCAGAAAUGACACUAAAUUGUAGGGCUGUUCUAUGCUACUCCAUUGAUACUCGUGAAUGCAGGGGUCAAAACAAACGGGAUUUACGAACCACAAAACAUUGCGCCCCCACCCCAAGAAAAAUCCCAUAAAUCACACUUCUCCAUUCAUCAUUACUUAUUUAUCCAAAUCAGGUGGUAUUGUGUUGACUCCAAGAACAAAACAACAAAAACAGUCAAUUGGCUUUUAAAUUGAGAAACCUGGGGCUACUUUGACUUUCUUGGUCAAGGAUCAAAUUGAAAGGUCGACCGCUUGCAUGGGGCUUUGGGAUCAUACAAAACAAACUCAUAAAACCAUUUUUGAAAUUGGGUUUUAAAACGUUUCAGGCAGGCGACUAUGUUAACACCCUUGGCUUGUAUUUUCAGUCAUUUAUAGGCUUUACACAGAAAUUAUAGAUUAAGAAUUCCAGACCAAGUCUGAAAAGACGUUUAAAAAACGUCUUUGGGAGUGAAUGAGUUAAGAAUCGUUAUCGUUAUGCACCUGAUACCAUGAUAAACUGCCCACUGUGGUUACAGCUGCCCCUGAAAAGGUUAUUUAAAAAAAAGGCAAUUUUGAGACCCGAUGUUAAAUGCUAGCUAGCUUUGUCAAGCACCCAAAUGUCAUUACUGUGUAAACUAACA